AUUGAACGCUGGCGGAAUGCUUUACACAUGCAAGUCGAACGGCAGCACGGACUUCGGUCUGGUGGCGAGUGGCGAACGGGUGAGUAACAUAUCGGAACGUAUCCAAUAAUGGGGGAUAACUAAUCGAAAGGUUGGCUAAUACCGCAUACGCCCUACGGGGGAAAGCAGGGGAUCUUCGGACCUUGCGUUAAUGGAGCGGCUGAUAUCUGAUUAGCUAGUUGGUGAGGUAAAGGCUCACCAAGGCGACGAUCAGUAGCUGGUCUGAGAGGACGACCAGACACACGGGAACUGAGACACGGUCCAGACUCCUACGGGAGGCAGCAGUGGGGAAUUUUGGACAAUGGGGGCAAGCCUGAUCCAGCCAUUCCGCGUGAGUGAAGAAGGCCUUCGGGUUGUAAAGCUCUUUCGCAAGGGAAGAAAACUUACUUUCUAAUAAAGAGUGAGGUUGACGGUACCUUGAUAAGAAGCACCGGCUAACUACGUGCCAGCAGCCGCCGCAG
Molecule: ribosomal RNA, 500 nt
Filed under: uncultured bacterium
Lineage: Bacteria
Description: partial 16S ribosomal RNA
Rfam family: Bacterial small subunit ribosomal RNA
Source: RNAcentral